Molecule: ribosomal RNA, 502 nt
Filed under: uncultured bacterium
Lineage: Bacteria
Description: partial 16S ribosomal RNA
Rfam family: Bacterial small subunit ribosomal RNA
Source: RNAcentral
GACGAACGCUGGCGGCGUGCUUAACACACGCGAGUCGAACGGUGAAGGGGUCUGCUUUUGUGGGCCCUGGAUGAGUGGCGAACGGGUGAGUAACACGUGAGUAACCUGCCCCCUUCUUCUGGAUAACCGCAUGAAAGUGUGGCUAAUACGGGAUAUUCUGGGUCUGUCGCAUGAUGGGUCUGGGAAAGAUUGCGCCUUUGGGUGUUUUUGGUGGGGGAUGGGCUCGCGGCCUAUCAGCUUGUUGGUGGGGUGAUGGCCUACCAAGGCGGUGACGGGUAGCCGGCCUGAGAGGGUGGACGGUCACACUGGGACUGAGACACGGCCCAGACUCCUACGGGAGGCAGCAGUGGGGAAUAUUGCACAAUGGGCGCAAGCCUGAUGCAGCGACGCCGCGUGAGGGAUGGAGGCCUUCGGGUUGUAAACCUCUUUCGCCAGUGAAGCAGGCCUGCUCCUUGUGGGUGGGUUGACGGUAGCUGGAUAAGAAGCGCCGGCUAACUACGUG